This 468-nucleotide ribosomal RNA is filed under the name uncultured bacterium. RNAcentral's name for it is "partial 16S ribosomal RNA". It matches the Rfam family "Bacterial small subunit ribosomal RNA", at positions 28 to 507 of the family's 1533-position model. The record is from RNAcentral.
GAUGAACGCUGGCGGCGUGCUUAACACAUGCAAGUCGAACGGAAAGGCCCUGCUUUUGUUGGGUGCUCGAGUGGCGAACGGGUGAGUAACACGUGAGUAACCUCCCCUUGACUUUGGGAUAACUUCAGGAAACUGGGGCUAAAACCGGAUAGGAUCUCCUGCUGCAUGGUGGGGGAUGGUAAGUUUCGGCUGUUGGGGAUGGACUCGAGGCUUAUCCGCUUGUUGGUGAGGUAGUGGCUUACCAAGGCUUUGACGGGUAGCCGGCCUGAGAGGGUGAACGGCCACAUUGGUACUGAGAUACGGCGCAGACUGCUACGGGAGGCAGCAGUGGAGAAUAUUGCACAAUGGGCCGAAGCCUGAUGCAGCAACGCCGCGUGCGUGAUGACGGCCUUCGGGUUGAAAACCGCUGUGGCCUGUGACGAAGCGUGAUUGACGGUAAUGGGUAAAGAAGCACCGGCUAACUACGUG